ACAGGGUUGGAGAGCCCUGACUUAGAUAAUAAUUCACAGUGACUUCAAUGGUGCUUGUACCAGAGCUGCCAUGUCUACAGUUGAACAAACAUACUUGCUAAAUUGCUAGUCAGAUAUAAUGUGCUCCACCCUUUCCUGCUUCUACGAAGGAGAAGGACAAGAAGACCCCAUCUCUAACCAUUUGGACCAUUCCCACUGAACGGCCUUGGACACGGGUCUGCAGCUCACCAACUCUCUCUCUCUGUACAACCCACCUAGUACACCCGUUAAGAAAGGACUGGACUUGAGCAGCACUAAACCUGUUCACAAAGGACUGAACAUCAGCAUGCUCAAAGAACAGAAUGGCUGGAAGUGACCCCACAAGACAGAUACACUUUUAUAAGUCAAUUGGUCUUGGUGAUGUCCAGAGAGAGAGCAAAUAGAGAAAGAUGUCAUACAAUGAAGGGUUACAGGGAAAACAUAUCUGCAAAGGUCAAGCCCUGUACUGUGCCCUCAAGGACCUGAAGAGUAUGGCUGUCUCUUCCCCCUGUACAGAAAACAGGCGAUCAGCCCUCUACUUCAAAACACGGGGAGACUGACAGGGAGAGUGUUCCUGAGGCAAGCCAGUAAAACUGACUGGAAAAUUUGUGAGUAGCACAAACCGGCAGACAUUUUAUCUCUCCAAGAUGAAUAAAUUGUCUAUCAAACAUUUCUCAGAAGGACCUAAUGUCUGCUCCUCUCUCUGAGAAAGAAAAUAUGCAGUUAAAUUUGGUUAUGAAAAUUACAAGAUUGUGAAAGCACAUUGUACUUGCUUCAAUAUAUCCCCUAGGUGCCAAACAUGUCAUCUGGUGCAUCAGACUUUUGAGUGUAGCGGAAUCCGGUCCAGACGCUAGGCUGUAAACCAACUGCAAAACUUUAGAAUGUUUUUGAGGCGGCAGGUAUUUAUUCCAGUAAAGUGAGUGACCAAGCAACUUUCACUUUAUUUCUUUACUUUGCAACCUCACUCUCUUUAACCAUGAUGAACUAUACUUUAUAUAAUGCUUAUUUAUUGUAAUGGGAAGGUUUGUAAUUAACUGUUUCACUAUCACGUACGUAAAUAUUUUUUGUAAGAAAUAUUUGAAAAUAAAAUGUUGAUGCUU
This is a long non-coding RNA of Oncorhynchus kisutch (coho salmon), 1118 nucleotides long. RefSeq lists it as uncharacterized. The record is from RefSeq and is a predicted model, not a curated record. The transcript is spliced from 2 exons. NCBI's taxonomy places the organism in Eukaryota, Metazoa, Chordata, Actinopteri, Salmoniformes, Salmonidae.